This 584-nucleotide ribosomal RNA is filed under the name Blastocystis sp. subtype 5. RNAcentral describes it as "SSU rRNA". It matches the Rfam family "Eukaryotic small subunit ribosomal RNA", at positions 28 to 621 of the family's 1831-position model. Lineage: Eukaryota; Bigyra; Opalinata; Blastocystidae. The record is from RNAcentral.
ACGCUCGUCUCAAAGAUUAAGCCCACGCAUGUGUAAGUAUAAAUAAUUUUACUUUGAAACUGCGAAUGGCUCAUUAUAUCAGUUAUAGUUUAUUAGAAAUAUUUUACUACUUGGAUAACCGUAGUAAUUCUAGGGCUAAUACAUGAGUAAAACCUCAACUUCGGAAGAGGUGUGUUUAUUAGUAUGAAAACCAUAUAUCUUCGGAUAUAAUAGUGAGUAAUAAUAACCUUUCAUAUCGUAUGUCGUAAGAUAACGAUAGUUCUUUCAAGUUUCUGCCCUAUCAGCUUUCGAUGGUAGUAUAUGGGACUACCAUGGCAGUAACGGGUAACGAAGAAUUUGGGUUCGAUUUCGGAGAGGGAGCCUGAGAGAUGGCUACCACAUCCAAGGAAGGCAGCAGGCGCGUAAAUUACCCAAUCCUGACAUAGGGAGGUAGUGACAAUAAAUCACAAUGCGGAACUUUUAGUUUUGCAAUUGGAUUGAGAACAAUGUACAAAUGUUAUCGAUAAACAAUUGGAGGGCAAGUCUGGUGCCAGCAGCCGCGGUAAUUCCAGCUCCAAUAGCGUAUAUUAACGUUGUUGCAGUUA